RNAcentral lists this ribosomal RNA (206 nucleotides) under uncultured bacterium. RNAcentral describes it as "partial 16S ribosomal RNA". It matches the Rfam family "Bacterial small subunit ribosomal RNA", at positions 1294 to 1500 of the family's 1533-position model. The record is from RNAcentral.
CGGAUUGAAGGCUGAAAUUCGCCUUCAUGAAGCCGGAAUUGCUAGUAAUGGCAGGUCAGCAUACUGCCGUGAAUACGUUCCCGGGCCUUGUACACACCGCCCGUCACACCAUGAGAGUUGGGAAUACCCGAAGCCUGUGAGCUAACUUAUAGAGGCAGCAGUCGAAGGUAGAAUCAAUGAUUGGGGUGAAGUCGUAACAAGGUACC